AUACAAACACCCGACCCCGAACGGCGGAUCACUUGGCUCGUGGAUCGAUGAAGACCGCAGCUAUCUGCGCGUCGUCGUGUAAUCCGCAGGUUAUACGAACAUCGACCAGUCGAACGCACAUUGCGGCCUCGGUGACCCGCGGGUCCCGGGCCACGCCUGUCUGAGGGUCGUACACCGGAUACUCGGCCAGACCGACGCGGCGCCCUCUCCGGGGGGCGCCGCGAGAUUGGCGGUUCGACCGGACGUCUGCCCGGUCGUCCGCCCAAGUUGUGACGGCAAACAGUCACGGGUUCUCGCGUCGUCCGACGGCGCGUCCCCGUCCGCCCGUCGCGCGCUCCGGCGCGCGGCCGGGUCGGUUGAGAGUCGCGCGAGCGCGACCUCUCCGGCUUCCGAGAAGCGGACGGCGUCGCAGCCGUGUGGGACGGAGCGCGGACCGCAGGCUGCCGGAAAAAACACAAACACACGUUCCGACCUCAGAUCAGGCGGGACUACCCGCCGGAUUUAAGCAUAUUAAUAAGCGGAGGAAAAGAAAACAACCGUGAUUCCCCCAGUAGCGGCGAGCGAACAGGGAAGAGCCCAUCGCCGAAUCCCGCCGCGCACUUUUGUGUCGCGGCACGUAUGGGAGUUGUGGCGUACGGGCCGGCCUCGUUGCCGGGGCGCACGCGACGGUCCAAGUCUCCCUUGAACGGGGCCAUGGCCCGCAGAUGGUGCCAGGCCAGUAGAGGCCGUCGCAGCGUUCCGGGAUCGGACCGCGCCUUCGAGUCGGGUUGCUUGAGAGUGCAGCCCGAAGCGGGUGGUAAACUCCAUCUAAGGCUAAAUACGGCCACGAGACCGAUAGUGGACAAGUACCGUGAGGGAAAGUUGAAAAGAACUUUGAAGAGAGAGUUCAUAAGAACGUGAAACCGUUCGGGUGUAAACGGACAGAGCCCGCGAGUCCCCGCCGGGCGAAUUCACGGUCGGUGGUCUCCCGACCGCCGGCCGGAUUUUUCGCCCGGUCAGCGGACGUCGCGACUCGUUGGGCGCCGGCCGAAGGGCCCGGGUGACGGUUCGUCGCGUCGGUCGCGUUUCGGCGCGGCCGUCUGCGCCGAACCCCGGUGCUCCUGGUCGGCUCGCCCGACGGCAAGAACCGUCGACGAGGCCCCGUCGCAGGCGGGGUCCAGUCGGUCGGCGACGAGUAUCGGGCUACUUUCCGACCCGUCUUGAAACACGGACCAAGGAGUCUAACGUGUGCGCGAGUCAACGGUGACGUGACGAAAAACCACGUGUGGCGCAAUGAAAGUGAACCGUUUACUCGGUGCGGACGACGGCCUAGCGACCGAACCCUCCGGCGUUCAGAGUUGCACUGGUCUGCAGUCCGGGGGCGUCUCCGCCGGGUCGGCUUCGGCCGUCCGGGGGCGCACCCUUAGCGCACACGUUGGUACCCGAAAGAUGGUGAACUAUGCCUGGCCAGGAUGAAGUCAGGGGAAACCCUGAUGGAGGUCCGCAGCGAUUCUGACGUGCAAAUCGAUCGUCUGAGCUGGGUAUAGGGGCGAAAGACUAAUCGAAC
Molecule: ribosomal RNA, 1546 nt
Filed under: Candidatus Regiella insecticola
Lineage: Bacteria; Pseudomonadati; Pseudomonadota; Gammaproteobacteria; Enterobacterales; Enterobacteriaceae
Description: partial 23S ribosomal RNA
Rfam family: Eukaryotic large subunit ribosomal RNA (bases 469-1546)
Source: RNAcentral